GUGAGGAAUAUUGGUCAAUGGACGGAAGUCUGAACCAGCCAUGCCGCGUGCAGGAAUAAGGUCCUAUGGAUUGUAAACUGCUUUUAUUCGGGAAUAAACCUCUUUACGCGUAGGGAGCUGAAGGUACCGAAGGAAUAAGCUCCGGCUAACUCCGUGCCAGCAGCCGCGGUAAUACGGUGGGUGCAAGCGUUAUCCGGAAUUAUUGGGUUUAAAGGGUCAGCAGGCGGGCUAUCAAGUCAGAGGUGAAAUCCCACAGCUUAACUGUGGAACUGACUUUGAAACUGAUGGUCUUGGAUUAAGUGAGCGUUGGCGGAAUAUGACAUGAAGCGGUGAAAUGCAUAGAUGUGUCAUGGAACACCGAAAGCGAAGGCAGCUAACGAUACUUAUAUUGACGCUCAUGGACGAAAGCGUGGGUAGCGAACAGGAUUAGAUACCCUGGUAGUCC
RNAcentral lists this ribosomal RNA (445 nucleotides) under uncultured bacterium. Its description in RNAcentral is "bacterial SSU rRNA". It matches the Rfam family "Bacterial small subunit ribosomal RNA", at positions 354 to 796 of the family's 1533-position model. The record is from RNAcentral.